This 454-nucleotide ribosomal RNA is filed under the name uncultured bacterium. RNAcentral's name for it is "bacterial SSU rRNA". It matches the Rfam family "Bacterial small subunit ribosomal RNA", at positions 340 to 786 of the family's 1533-position model. The record is from RNAcentral.
UACGGAAGCAGCAGUGGGGAAUAUUGCACAAUGGGCGAAAGCCUGAUGCAGCUAUGCCGCGUGUAUGAAGAAGGCCUUAGGGUUGUAAAGUACUUUCAUCGGGGAGGAAAAACAAAACUAAUAAUUUUAUUUCUUGACGUUACCCGAAAAAGAAGCACCGGCUAACUCCGUGCCAGCAGCCGCGGUAAUACGGAGGGUGCUAGCGUUAAUCAGAAUUACUGGGCGUAAAGAGCACGUAGGUGGUUUUUUUAAGUCAGAUGUGAAAUCCCUGGGCUUAACCUAGGAACUGCAUUUUGAAACUGAAAUACUAGAGUAUCGUAGAGGGAGGUAGAAUUCUAGGCGUAGCGGUGAAAUGCGUAGAUAUCUGGAGGAAUACCUGUGGCGAAAGCGGCCUCCUAAACGAAUACUGACACUGAGGUGCGAAAGCGUGGGGAGCAAACAGGGAUUAGAUACC